CAGCAGCCGCGGUAACACCGAGGGUGCGAGCGUUAAUCGGAUUUACUGGGCGUAAAGCGUGCGUAGGCGGCUUCUUAAGUCGGAUGUGAAAUCCCUGAGCUUAACUUAGGAAUUGCAUUCGAUACUGGGAAGCUAGAGUAUGGGAGAGGAUGGUAGAAUUCCAGGUGUAGCGGUGAAAUGCGUAGAGAUCUGGAGGAAUACCGAUGGCGAAGGCAGCCAUCUGGCCUAAUACUGACGCUGAGGUACGAAAGCAUGGGGAGCAAACAGGAUUAGAUACCCGCGUAGUCCCUGUCUCUUAUAC
Molecule: ribosomal RNA, 301 nt
Filed under: uncultured bacterium
Lineage: Bacteria
Description: partial 16S ribosomal RNA
Rfam family: Bacterial small subunit ribosomal RNA
Source: RNAcentral